AGCGAACGCUGGCGGCAGGCUUAACACAUGCAAGUCGAGCGGGCACUUCGGUGUCAGCGGCAGACGGGUGAGUAACACGUGGGAACGUACCCUUUGGUUCGGAAUAACGCUGGGAAACUAGCGCUAAUACCGGAUGCGCCCUUUUGGGGAAAGGCUUGCUGCCGCAGGAUCGGCCCGCGUCUAAUUAGCUAGUUGGUGGGGUAAUGGCCUACCAAGGCGACGAUCAGUAGCUGGUCUGAGAGGAUGAUCAGCCACACUGGGACUGAGACACGGCCCAGACUCCUACGGGAGGCAGCAGUGGGGAAUAUUGGACAAUGGGCGCAAGCCUGAUCCAGCCAUGCCGCGUGAGUGAUGAAGGCCUUAGAAUUGUAAAGCUCUUUUGUCCGGGACGAUAAUGACGGUACCGGAAGAAUAAGCCCCGGCUAACUUCGUG
Molecule: ribosomal RNA, 433 nt
Filed under: uncultured bacterium
Lineage: Bacteria
Description: partial 16S ribosomal RNA
Rfam family: Bacterial small subunit ribosomal RNA
Source: RNAcentral